AAUUUUUGUAUCCUUCAGAUGAGGCAAUCAUGGUCGAGAUCAUCAGAGGUCCUAUCAGGGUGACUUAAUAUGAAUCAAAUGUUAUAAAUUUUGAAUAGGAUCGGACUGGGAUCAGAUCUAUCGCACGAAUUUCGGAGCAAUCUCAUAUCAUCUUAUCUUCAUCUCAAGUUUAUCCUAGGAUUCAUGAUGCAAUCAGAGAGGAAGAAAAGAUCCUAGAGAGACAAAAUCCGUAAAGAGAGAGAAAAGUCUAGAGAGAGAAUCUAGAGAGAGAAAAUGUAGAGAGAA
This 285-nucleotide long non-coding RNA is filed under the name Elaeis guineensis (African oil palm). RNAcentral's name for it is "long non-coding RNA (EGUI_LNC006612)". The record is from RNAcentral. Lineage: Eukaryota; Viridiplantae; Streptophyta; Magnoliopsida; Arecales; Arecaceae.